Molecule: transfer RNA, 56 nt
Filed under: Setaria labiatopapillosa
Lineage: Eukaryota; Metazoa; Nematoda; Chromadorea; Rhabditida; Setariidae
Description: tRNA-Leu
Source: RNAcentral
AUGUUUUUAGUAUAAAUAGUAUAUCAAAUUUAGAUUUUGAAGGUAAAUUUAACAUA